GCUUGCUUGUUGGGGUUGUAGGACACUCUAUACGGAGUUACAAAGGACGACAUUAGACGAAUCAUCUGGAAAGAUGAAUCAAAGAAGGUAAUAAUCCUGUAGUCGAAAAUGUUGUCUCUCUUGAGUGGAUCCUGAGUACGACGGAGCACGUGAAAUUCCGUCGGAAUCUGGGAGGACCAUCUCCUAAGGCUAAAUACUCUCUAGUGACCGAUAGUGAACCAGUACCGUGAGGGAAAGGUGAAAAGCACCCCGGAAGGGGAGUGAAAUAGAACCUGAAACCGUGUGCUUACAAGUAGUCAGAGCCCGUUAAUGGGUGAUGGCGUGCCUUUUGUAGAAUGAACCGGCGAGUUACGAUUUGAUGCAAGGUUAAGCAGUAAAUGUGGAGCCGUAGCGAAAGCGAGUCUGAAUAGGGCGUUUAGUAUUUGGUCGUAGACCCGAAACCAGGUGAUCUACCCUUGGUCAGGUUGAAGUUCAGGUAACACUGAAUGGAGGACCGAACCGACUUACGUUGAAAAGUGAGCGGAUGAACUGAGGGUAGCGGAGAAAUUCCAAUCGAACCUGGAGAUAGCUGGUUCUCUCCGAAAUAGCUUUAGGGCUAGCCUCAAGUGAUGAUUAUUGGAGGUAGAGCACUGUUUGGACGAGGGGCCCCUCUCGGGUUACCGAAUUCAGACAAACUCCGAAUGCCAAUUAAUUUAACUUGGGAGUCAGAACAUGGGUGAUAAGGUCCGUGUUCGAAAGGGAAACAGCCCAGACCACCAGCUAAGGUCCCAAAAUAUAUGUUAAGUGGAAAAGGAUGUGGCGUUGCCCAGACAACUAGGAUGUUGGCUUAGAAGCAGCCAUCAUUUAAAGAGUGCGUAAUAGCUCACUAGUCGAGUGACACUGCGCCGAAAAUGUACCGGGGCUAAACAUAUUACCGAAGCUGUGGAUUGUCCUUUGGACAAUGGUAGGAGAGCGUUCUAAGGGCGUUGAAGCAUGAUCGUAAGGACAUGUGGAGCGCUUAGAAGUGAGAAUGCCGGUGUGAGUAGCGAAAGACGGGUGAGAAUCCCGUCCACCGAUUGACUAAGGUUUCCAGAGGAAGGCUCGUCCGCUCUGGGUUAGUCGGGUCCUAAGCUGAGGCCGACAGGCGUAGGCGAUGGAUAACAGGUUGAUAUUCCUGUACCACCUAUAAUCGUUUUAAUCGAUGGGGGGACGCAGUAGGAUAGGCGAAGCGUGCGAUUGGAUUGCACGUCUAAGCAGUAAGGCUGAGUAUUAGGCAAAUCCGGUACUCG
RNAcentral lists this ribosomal RNA (1268 nucleotides) under Staphylococcus aureus. RNAcentral's name for it is "partial 23S ribosomal RNA". It matches the Rfam family "Bacterial large subunit ribosomal RNA", at positions 283 to 1551 of the family's 2925-position model. Lineage: Bacteria; Bacillati; Bacillota; Bacilli; Caryophanales; Staphylococcaceae. The record is from RNAcentral.